This 253-nucleotide ribosomal RNA is filed under the name uncultured bacterium. RNAcentral's name for it is "partial 16S ribosomal RNA". It matches the Rfam family "Bacterial small subunit ribosomal RNA", at positions 524 to 776 of the family's 1533-position model. The record is from RNAcentral.
UACGAAGGGUGCAAGCGUUACUCGGAAUUACUGGGCGUAAAGCGUGCGUAGGUGGUGAGUUAAGUCUGUCGUGAAAGCCCCGGGCUCAACCUGGGAAUGGCGAUGGAUACUGGCUCGCUAGAGUGCGGUAGAGGAGAGUGGAAUUCCCGGUGUAGCAGUGAAAUGCGUAGAGAUCGGGAGGAACACCAAUGGCGAAGGCAGCUCGCUGGGACGGUACUGACGCUGAGACGCGAAAGCGUGGGGAGCAAACAGG